GAUGAACGCUGGCGGCGUGCUUAACACAUGCAAGUCGAACGAGAAGUGAAUACGGAAACCUUCUGGCGGAAGGCUUUAUUUCUAGUUGCGGACGGGUGAGUAACGCUUGGGUAACCUUCCUCAUACAGGGGGAUAACAGUUUGAAACGACUGUUAAUACCGCAUAAGACCACAGCACCGCAUGUUUCGGGGGUAAAAACUCCGGUGGUAUGAGAUGGACCCGCUUUCGAUUAGCCAGUUGGCGGGGUAACGGCCCACCAAAGCGACGAUCGAUAGCCGAGAAGAGAGGAAGACAGGAGACAAUGGGAAUGAGACACGGCCGAAAAUACUACGGGAGGAAGGAGUGGGGAAUAGAGCAAAAUGGGGGAAAAGAUGAAGAAGCGACGACGGGUGAGUGAAGAAGUAUGUCGGUAAGAAAAGCACAAGAAGAAGGGAAGAAAAUGACGGUACCUGAGUAAGAAGCCCCGGCUAACUACGUG
Molecule: ribosomal RNA, 478 nt
Filed under: uncultured bacterium
Lineage: Bacteria
Description: partial 16S ribosomal RNA
Rfam family: Bacterial small subunit ribosomal RNA
Source: RNAcentral